Molecule: long non-coding RNA, 348 nt
Organism: Esox lucius (northern pike)
Lineage: Eukaryota; Metazoa; Chordata; Actinopteri; Esociformes; Esocidae
Exons: 3
Source: RefSeq, a predicted model, not a curated record
CAAUACUUUGGACAACUACUCCUGUUCAUUGAAGCCCCAGUGUCCACUCCUGAUCUGACCACUAAGUGUCUGACUGAUGGAGAGAUGAGGGUGUCCUGCUCCUCUAAGGGGGAUUUUGUCCAGUUUAACUGGACUCUGAUUGGAGAUCCACUGCUAGACACUGAGAGGACUGUUGGUAAUGAGACAAACACCAUAACUCUGAAGAAAGGCUGGUCUGGAAUCCUCACCUGUCAUGUCAGGAACCACGUCAGCAACGCUAACCACAGCAUAAAGAUAUCACAUUGUCCUGGGCUUAGAUUGGCUAACUGCAUCUUAAAUGGGACAAAUAUAUUGGAGUGGGUAAAUGAC